Molecule: ribosomal RNA, 253 nt
Filed under: uncultured bacterium
Lineage: Bacteria
Description: partial 16S ribosomal RNA
Rfam family: Bacterial small subunit ribosomal RNA
Source: RNAcentral
UACGUAGGGGGCGAGCGUUGUCCGGAAUUACUGGGCGUAAAGAGAGCGUAGGCGGCACUACAAGUCUCAUGUGAAAUACCCGGGCUUAACUUGGGGGUUGCAUGGGAAACUGUAGAGCUUGAGUACAGGAGAGGCAAGCGGAAUCCCUAGUGUAGCGGUGAAAUGCAUAGAUAUUAGGAGGAACACCAGUGGCGAAGGCGGCUUGCUGGACUGAAACUGACGCUGAGGCUCGAAAGCGUGGGGAGCAAACAGG